GCUGGGAUAGCUCAGCCGGUUGAGCAAUAGACUCUAAAUCUCAGGGUUGUGGGUUGGAGUUCCAUGUUGAGCA
This is a non-coding RNA of Podarcis lilfordi (Lilford's wall lizard), 73 nucleotides long. Lineage: Eukaryota; Metazoa; Chordata; Lepidosauria; Squamata; Lacertidae. The record is from the annotation of a GenBank genome assembly.